CCUACGGGUGGCAGCAGUGAGGAAUAUUGGUCAAUGGGCGCUAGCCUGAACCAGCCAAGUAGCGUGAAGGAUGAAUGUCCUAUGGGUUGUAAACUUCUUUUAUAAAGGAAUAAAACGAGGCACGUGUGCCUUUUUGCAUGUACUUUAUGAAUAAGGAUCGGCUAACUCCGUGCCAGCAGCCGCGGUAAUACGGAGGAUCCGAGCGUUAUCCGGAUUUAUUGGGUGUAAAGGGCGCGUAGAUGGCUGGUUAAGUCAGUUGUGAAAGUUUGCGGCUCAACCGGAAAAUUGCAAUUGAUACUGGUAGUCUUGAGUACAGUUGAGGUAGGCGGAAUUCGAGGUGUAGCAGUGAAAUGCUUAGAUAUGUCGAAGAACCCCGAUGGCGAAGGCAGCUUACUAAACUGUAACUGACAUUGAUGCUCGAAAGUGUGGGUAUCAAACAGGAUUAGAUACCCCAGUAGUC
This 460-nucleotide ribosomal RNA is filed under the name uncultured bacterium. Its description in RNAcentral is "partial 16S ribosomal RNA". It matches the Rfam family "Bacterial small subunit ribosomal RNA", at positions 338 to 795 of the family's 1533-position model. The record is from RNAcentral.